CCUACGGGUGGCAGCAGUGGGGAAUAUUGGACAAUGGGCGCAAGCCUGAUCCAGCAAUGCCGCGUGUGUGAAGAAGGCCUGCGGGUUGUAAAGCACUUUGAGUGGGGAAGAAGGCCUGGGGGUUAAUAGCUUCUGGGAUUGACGUUACCCACAGAACAAGCACCGGCUAACUCCGUGCCAGCAGCCGCGGUAAUACGGAGGGUGCGGGCGUUAAUCGGAAUUGUAGGGCGUAGAACGCGCGUGGGCGGUAAGCCCUGGGCUUAACCUGGGAACUGCAUUGGAUACUGUUUGACUGGAGUGUGGUAGAGGGGUGUGGAAUUUCCGGUGUAGCAGUGAAAUGCGUAGAGAUCGGAAGGAACACCAGUGGCGAGGGCGGCACCCUGGACCGACACUGACGCUGAGGUGCGAAAGCGUGGGGAGCAAACAGGAUUAGAUACCCCAGUAGUC
This 447-nucleotide ribosomal RNA is filed under the name uncultured bacterium. RNAcentral's name for it is "partial 16S ribosomal RNA". It matches the Rfam family "Bacterial small subunit ribosomal RNA", at positions 338 to 795 of the family's 1533-position model. The record is from RNAcentral.